Molecule: ribosomal RNA, 1291 nt
Filed under: metagenome
Description: bacterial SSU rRNA
Rfam family: Bacterial small subunit ribosomal RNA
Source: RNAcentral
UGAGUAAUGGCAAGGAACGUGCCUCUGUCAUCGACAUACCUUACCGAAAGGUGAGUUAAUAUCGGAUGGUAUAUGGGUUUAAAUCCAUAUUAAAGAUGCAAAUCGGACAGAGAUCGGCCUUGUUCCUAUCAGCUUGUUGGCGGGGUAAAGGCCCACCAAGGCGACGACGGGUAGCUGGUCUGAGAGGAUGAUCAGCCACAAUGGAACUGAGACACGGUCCAUACACCUACGGGUGGCAGCAGUUGGGAAUAUUGCGCAAUGGGCGAAAGCCUGACGCAGCGACGCCGCGUGAAGGAAGACGGCCUUCGGGUUGUAAACUUCUUUUAUAGGGGAAGAUUGUGACUGUACCCUAAGAAUAAGGGCCUGCUAACUACGUGCCAGCAGCAGCGGUAAUACGUAGGGCCCGAGCGUUAUCCGGAUUUAUUGGACGUAAAGCGCAUGCAGGUGGGUUAAUAAGUCGGAUUUUAAAUUUCGAGGCUCAACUUCGAACUUGGAUCCGAAACUAUUUUUCUUGACAAUAGCAGGGGUAAGCGGAAUUCCCGGUGUAGCAGUGAAAUGCGUUGAUAUCGGGAGGAACACCAAUGGCGAAGGCAGCUUACUAGGUUAUUUGUGACACUGAGAUGCGAAAGCGUGGGUAGCGAACAGGAUUAGAUACCCUGGUAGUCCACGCCCUAAACGAUGCAAACUAGGUAUCAGAAGCAUCGACCCUUCUUGUACCGAAGCUAACGCGUUAAGUUUGCCGCCUGGGGAGUACGGCCGCAAGGCUAAAACUCAAAGGAAUUGACGGGGACUCGCACAAGCGGUGGAGCAUGUGGUUUAAUUCGAUGAUAAGCGGAACACCUCACCAGGGUUUGACAUCUUUAGGACCCCGCAGAAACGCGGGGGUGCCCGUAAGGGAACUGGAAGACAGGUGCUGCACGGUUGUCGUCAGCUCGUGUCGUGAGAUGUGGCCUUAAGUGGUCAAACGAGCGAAACCUGUAUCCUGUGUUAAUUUUUCACUGGAGACUGCCUCGGUUUACGGGGAGGAAGGUGCAGAUGACGUCAAAUCAGCGUGGCCCUUACACCCUGGGCAACUCACGUGCUACAAUGGUAAGUUUACAAAGGUUGCCAAGUCGUAAGACGGAGCUAAUCCCAUAAAGCUUGCCCCAGUACGGAUUGAGGGCUGAAAUUCGCCCUCAUGAAGCCGGAAUCGCUAGUAAUCGCGGAUCAGCACGCCACGGUGAAUACGUUCUCGAGUCUUGUACACACCGCCCGUCAAGUGAGCCGAGUCGGCGGGGCCCGAGUUCCGAAG